AUUGAACGCUGGCGGCAGGCCUAACACAUGCAAGUCGAACGGCAGCACAGAAGAGCUUGCUCUUUGGGUGGCGAGUGGCGGACGGGUGAGUAAUGUCUGGGAGACUGCCCGAUGGAGGGGGAUAACUACUGGAAACGGUAGCUAAUACCGCAUAACGUCGCAAGACCAAAGUGGGGGACCUUCGGGCCUCACACCAUCGGAUGUGCCCAGAUGGGAUUAGCUAGUAGGUGGGGUAAUGGCUCACCUAGGCGACGAUCCCUAGCUGGUCUGACCGGAUGACCAGCCACACUGGAACUGAGACACGGUCCAGACUCCUACAGGAGGCAGCAGUGGGGAAUAUUGCACAAUGGGCGCAAGCCUGAUGCAGCCAUGCCGCGUGUAUGAAGAAGGCCUUCGGGUUGUAAAGUACUUUCAGCGGGGAGGAAGGCGGUGAGGUUAAUAACCUUGCCGAUUGACGUUACCCGCAGAAGAAGCACCGGCUAACUCCGUGCCAGCCGCCGCGGUAA
This 506-nucleotide ribosomal RNA is filed under the name uncultured bacterium. RNAcentral's name for it is "partial 16S ribosomal RNA". It matches the Rfam family "Bacterial small subunit ribosomal RNA", at positions 30 to 523 of the family's 1533-position model. The record is from RNAcentral.